GAUGAACGCUGGCGGCAUGCCUAACACAUGCAAGUCGAACGGACCUUUAUUUUUGAGAGCUCCUUUAUAGAAAUUCUCAAAAAUACUGGUUAGUGGCGGACGGGUGAGUAACACGUUGGUACCUACCCCUUAGUGGGGAAUAACUUCGAGAAAUCGAGGCUAAUACCGCAUAAUAUCUACGGAUUAAAGCAUUUAUGCGCUAAGGGAGGGGCCUGCGUCUGAUUAGCUAGUUGGUGAGGUAAAAGCUCACCAAGGCGACGAUCAGUAGCUGGAUCGAGAGGUUGACCAGCCACACUGGGACUGAGAUACGGCCCAGACUCCUACGGGAGGCAGCAGUGAGGAAUCUUCCACAAUGGACGAAAGUCUGAUGGAGCAAUGCCGCGUGCAGGAUGACGGCCUUCGGGUUGUAAACUGCUUUUAUAUGGGAAGAUUAUGACGGUACCAUAUGAAUAAGGACCGGCUAACUACGUGCCAGCAGCCGCCGUAAAAC
Molecule: ribosomal RNA, 490 nt
Filed under: uncultured bacterium
Lineage: Bacteria
Description: bacterial SSU rRNA
Rfam family: Bacterial small subunit ribosomal RNA
Source: RNAcentral